UACGUAGGGUGCGAGCGUUGUCCGGAAUUAUUGGGCGUAAAGAGCUCGUAGGCGGUCUGUUGCGUCGGCUGUGAAAACCCGGGGCUCAACUCCGGGCCUGCAGUCGAUACGGGCAGACUAGAGUUCGGUAGGGGAGACUGGAAUUCCUGGUGUAGCGGUGAAAUGCGCAGAUAUCAGGAGGAACACCGGUGGCGUAGGCGGGUCUCUGGGCCGAAACUGACGCUGAGGAGCGAAAGCGUGGGGAGCGAACAGG
This 253-nucleotide ribosomal RNA is filed under the name uncultured bacterium. Its description in RNAcentral is "partial 16S ribosomal RNA". It matches the Rfam family "Bacterial small subunit ribosomal RNA", at positions 524 to 776 of the family's 1533-position model. The record is from RNAcentral.